GAUGAACGCUGGCGGCGUGCCUAAUACAUGCAAGUCGAGCGAACGGACGAGAAGCUUGCUUUUCUGAUGUUAGCGGCGGACGGGGGAGUAACACGUGGAUAACCUACCUAUAAGACUGGGAUAACUUCGGGAAACCGGAGCUAAUACCGGAUAAUAGUUUGAACCGCAUGGUUCAAAAGUGAAAGACGGUCUUGCUGUCACUUAUAGAUGGAUCCGCGCUGCAUUAGCUAGUUGGUAAGGUAACGGCUUACCAAGGCAACGAUGCAUAGCCGACCUGAGAGGGUGAUCGGCCACACUGGAACUGAGACACGGUCCAGACUCCUACGGGAGGCAGCAGUAGGGAAUCUUCCGCAAUGGGCGAAAGCCUGACGGAGCAACGCCGCGUGAGUGAUGAAGGUCUUCGGAUCGUAAAACUCUGUUAUUAGGGAAGAACAUAUGUGUAAGUAACUGUGCACAUCUUGACGGUACCUAAUCAGAAAGCCACGGCUAACUACGUG
This 497-nucleotide ribosomal RNA is filed under the name uncultured bacterium. Its description in RNAcentral is "partial 16S ribosomal RNA". It matches the Rfam family "Bacterial small subunit ribosomal RNA", at positions 28 to 507 of the family's 1533-position model. The record is from RNAcentral.